UUCAGUCUGACAGUGAAACUACAACAGCUUCAUCAGAUUGUCGUGAGGAACAGUUCCCUUGCACACGCCUGUAUUCUGUUCACAAACCGGUAAAGCAGUGUAUCAGCUACCUUUGUGUUACCAGUGUGCGUCGCAUGUACGUAAUAAACAAAGAGGUGUGCUCUCGCAUUGUCUGCAAGGAAAAUGAAGUCAUGCAAGAUGAGAUCUGUCGCCAGCUGGCUGGCCUUCCUUCUCGACGUCUCCGCCGAUCUGGGCAACUCCCAUAUCUCCCUUGCAAACAGAUCCUGGAGCAGCAGCACAGGAGGCCUGAUGCUCUGUGAGCUACCAGAAGUAGAAGAGAAAAAAGAAGAGAGAGAAGAGAAAUCAUUAUCCCCUGCCUACAGCCCAAGACAAGUCCUUCUUUCUUGUUGUGAUUCCCCCACCAUUUCCUUGCUUCUCUGUCUUCUCCCACAUCCUCUUCUUCAAGUGCUGCAGUGCACAGAGUUCCCUAUCUGUCAUGGUAGCUGCAACUGUCUUCUAAAUCUGUUGCUGAGGAUGUGGGAUGCUCCCCUUUUCUCUCAGUUUCUAUUUGGCAGGCUUGUUUCCCAGAGGUCCUUAUAUCUGUGUAUUGUCUCUGCAGAGAAACAUGAAUGGAGAUGGGGUGUCCUCUCCAAUGGUAGAAAUGGCCUAAGCUGUGUCUCAUGUGGAGGAAUGCAAGACUGUAUGCACAAGGCUUUAUGCCCUGGCCUAGGUUUCUUGCAUGGUACGAGUACGAGUUCUGAUACUCUUAGUCAUACUGUUCCUCUCCAGACCUCCACGGCUACUGAGUUUGCUCUGUGUCUGCUGGACUCAGAGAAGUGACAGAACUGGGAGGUGAGCUGUCUUCCACCCAAGGCAAACCUCAUUGUAUGGCAGCAGAUGAUUUGUAACUACCUCUGGGAAGUUCUUCAUUUCAUGCCCAUUGUUUCCCUCACACAAAUGCUACUAAAAGGAAGAAUUCUGGAUUUAAUAUGGCAUUAUACUUUUAUCAAGAAGAUUAUGUUCUCAAGAAGAGAGAUCUCUCUCCUCAUCUCUCCUUUUCUCUCCUCUGCUCUGCUCUUCCCUUUCCACUGAAGAAAACUCUUGAUACCCAUUUCAGACAAGUUUCAGGAAGCAGGAAGUAUGAAUACAUCUGUUCCUAAGCCCAAGAGAGCCCCAAAAACGUGUGUCCUUAAAGAACUGGGGACUUGCUUCUUGUGUGGUGAAGGACAGGAGAAGAGACAAUGAAUUAGCUCCUGAUGACUUGUCUGAUCUAGUUUCAUCUAUAUUCACCAGCUGCUGAGUCCACUUUCACUAUCUCCACUUGAGUUCCUACCUCCUGACCUGGUGUCUUCUGCACAGAAAGGAAUCAAACUGGAAUGAGAUGUGGUAGAGGAAUCAUUAUCUGGGAUCCUUGGGUUUUCCUGCAGGUUGUCUGUGUGCUGUAUUGCACAGAACUGGGUGCUGGUGGGGAGGUGGAUAUAUCUCUAGGUAUGAGCAUAGAAACAGGCCAAUCUUGGGAAAAUAAUUCACUCUGGUAGCACUGGAUGUCUGUUGGUAGCACUUUCCAGAUGCACAGAAAACAUUUCAAGGUGUAUGGUCAGUGUUCUGAGAUUGGAUAAGGGAAGUGGUGAAGAGCUGUCUGAAGAGUCUUAAUCACUUUUUGUGACUUUUGGUGGCAUGCCUAACUGUUCUGUAGAGCACUUUAUCUCAGCAUCUAUCUUAAUGCAGCAGAUCAAUGAGGAACUCUGGGCACUGUUCCUAUCUCUAACAUAGUUUGCUACAGCAUGUAUACAUGCUCACAACACAAUAUAUCUGAUACUGAACUCAGUACCAUUCAGCCUGGCAGGAACAGCGGUCUGCUGAACAACCAGAGUAACACAAUAUAUAAGUUUGCUGUGCAGAGUUAGAAUUCUCAGAAAACUGAUGAGAGCCUCUCCACAAUCCUUGGAUUUCUGCUGUACACAGACAGAAGCUGCAUUACAUCCUCCAUGUACGGAAGGACAUCCCGCAGAGGCAUGUUUGCUCUAUAUAAAGUCAAAAUUGGCUAAAUGGGCUAAAUCUCUAAAGGUUAAUAAAUUUUACAGGACAAAGAAUUUCA
Molecule: long non-coding RNA, 2098 nt
Organism: Chrysolophus pictus (golden pheasant)
Lineage: Eukaryota; Metazoa; Chordata; Aves; Galliformes; Phasianidae
Source: Ensembl